GGCCCAGACUCCUACGGGAGGCAGCAGUGGGGAAUAUUGCACAAUGGGCGCAAGCCUGAUGCAGCGACGCCGCGUGAGGGAUGACGGCCUUCGGGUUGUAAACCUCUUUCAGUAGGGAAGAAGCGAAAGUGACGGUACCUGCAGAAGAAGCGCCGGCUAACUACGUGCCAGCAGCCGCGGUAAUACGUAGGGCGCAAGCGUUAUCCGGAAUUAUUGGGCGUAAAGAGCUCGUAGGCGGUUUGUCGCGUCUGCCGUGAAAGUCCGGGGCUCAACUCCGGAUCUGCGGUGGGUACGGGCAGACUANAGUGAUGUAGGGGAGACUGGAAUUCCUGGUGUAGCGGUGAAAUGCGCAGAUAUCAAGAGGAACACCGAUGGCGAAGGCAGGUCUCUGGGCAUUAACUGACGCUGAGGAGCGAAAGCAUGGGGAGCGAACAGGAUUAGAUACCCUGGUAGUCCAUGCCGUAAACGUUGGGCACUANGUGUGGGGGACAUUCCACGUUUUCCGCGCCGUAGCUAACGCAUUAAGUGCCCCGCCUGGNGAGUACGG
This 547-nucleotide ribosomal RNA is filed under the name Arthrobacter sp. 3R-6. Its description in RNAcentral is "bacterial SSU rRNA". It matches the Rfam family "Bacterial small subunit ribosomal RNA", at positions 328 to 885 of the family's 1533-position model. Lineage: Bacteria; Bacillati; Actinomycetota; Actinomycetes; Micrococcales; Micrococcaceae. The record is from RNAcentral.